AUGACUUCUUGAAUCAACAGAACAAGGCAGUGGAUAUUCCAGAAAGGGAUGACCCAGUUCACUGCCUCCCCUUUCCCAAGGCAAGGACUCCAUGAGAAACAAUACUAGCAGGAGUCUAGAACCAGCUGCUAUGACAGUUUUGUGGAGCCUGGAUAUUCAGAUGGAAAGCAACGGAACCUCUCUCAAACAUUUGAAUUUGGAGCUAACAGUGGAUGCUGUGCAAUGUAUGCUUCAAGGAAACAGCUUGACACGGGCUAACAAAGACAACCAGUCUGAGGGUUCUCCAUGAACUUCCCUUUACAAGGUACAUUGACUAAAGGUAUCAGAAGAGGCAAGAGAAUCUCACUAAACCAUAUGAACAAC
Molecule: long non-coding RNA, 363 nt
Organism: Cervus elaphus (red deer)
Lineage: Eukaryota; Metazoa; Chordata; Mammalia; Artiodactyla; Cervidae
Exons: 3
Source: RefSeq, a predicted model, not a curated record